AGUCCCGUAACUCAGUUGGUUAGAGUGUAACGUUAACACCGUUAAAGUCGCGAGUUCAAGUCUCGCCGGGGCUA
Zophobas morio is the source of this 74-nucleotide non-coding RNA. Lineage: Eukaryota; Metazoa; Arthropoda; Insecta; Coleoptera; Tenebrionidae. The record is from the annotation of a RefSeq genome assembly.